GACGAACGCUGGCGGCGUGCCUAAUACAUGCAAGUAGAACGCUGAAGCGAGGAGCUUGCUCUUCUUGGAUGAGUUGCGAACGGGUGAGUAACGCGUAGGUAACCUGCCUGGUAGCGGGGGAUAACUAUUGGAAACGAUAGCUAAUACCGCAUAAAAUGGAUUAUCGCAUGAUAAUCCAUUGAAAGGUGCAAAUGCAUCACUACCAGAUGGACCUGCGUUGUAUUAGCUAGUUGGUGGGGUAACGGCUCACCAAGGCGACGAUACAUAGCCGACCUGAGAGGGUGAUCGGCCACACUGGGACUGAGACACGGCCCAGACUCCUACGGGAGGCAGCAGUAGGGAAUCUUCGGCAAUGGACGGAAGUCUGACCGAGCAACGCCGCGUGAGUGAAGAAGGUUGUCGGAUCGUAAAGCUCUGUUGUAAGAGAAGAACGAGUGUGAGAGUGGAAAGUUCACACUGUGACGGUAUCUUACCAGAAAGGGACGGCUAACUACGUG
This 497-nucleotide ribosomal RNA is filed under the name uncultured bacterium. RNAcentral describes it as "partial 16S ribosomal RNA". It matches the Rfam family "Bacterial small subunit ribosomal RNA", at positions 28 to 507 of the family's 1533-position model. The record is from RNAcentral.